GGAUCAUUACCGAGUUGUCGCAAGACAAUCUCCCUUUCUUGUGGUUGACUAUGUUGCCUUGCCUUCGGGCAGGAUUAUUCUGAAUCAGUGUCGUCUGAGUUUUAUUUAAUAAAUCAAAACUUUCAACAACGGAUCUCUUGGUUCUGGCAUCGAUGAAGAACGCAGCGAAAUGCGAUAAGUAAUGUGAAUUGCAGAAUUCCGUGAAUCAUCGAAUCUUUGAACGCACAUUGCGCCCUUUGGUAUUCCGAAGGGCAUGCCUGUUCGAGCGUCAUUACACCUUCUAUCAAGGUAUUGGGAGAUGCACUCGCACUCCUUAAAAACAGUGGUGAUAACUGUCUACUCACGCAUAGUAAUCUCUGCGACGGAUACACAGUGACCGCACCUUAAUUCUUUGUUUGACCUCGGAUCAGGUAGGGAUACCCGCUGAACUUAAGCAUAUCAAUAAGCGGAGGAAAAGAAACCAACAGGGAUUGCCUCAGUAACGGCGAGUGAAGCGGCAACAGCUCAAAUUUGAAACCUGCCAACCGGCCGGAUUGUAAUUUGUAGAGGAUGUUUUGGGGUCAGCUCUGAUCUAAGUUUCUUGGAACAGAACGUCACAGAGGGUGAGAAUCCCGUACGUGGUCGGCAGCUGGCUCUAUGUAAAACUCCUUCGACGAGUCGAGUUGUUUGGGAAUGCAGCUCAAAAUGGGUGGUAAAUUUCAUCUAAAGCUAAAUAUUGGCCAGAGACCGAUAGCGCACAAGUAGAGUGAUCGAAAGAUGAAAAGCACUUUGGAAAGAGAGUUAAACAGCACGUGAAAUUGUUGAAAGGGAAGCGCUUGCAAUCAGACUUGCGCGUAGGUAAUCACGAGUGGUUCGCUGCUCUGCACUUGCCUACGCUCAGGCCAGCAUCAGUUCUAGGGGUGGGAUAAAGGCCGUUGGAAUGUGGCUCUUCGGAGUGUUAUAGCCUUCGGUGCCAUGCCGCCUCCCGGGACUGAGGACCGC
RNAcentral lists this ribosomal RNA (981 nucleotides) under Leotiomycetes sp. genotype 787 JMUR-2016. RNAcentral's name for it is "eukaryotic LSU rRNA". The stretch from base 397 to 981 matches the Rfam family "Eukaryotic large subunit ribosomal RNA", at positions 1 to 597 of the family's 3401-position model. Lineage: Eukaryota; Fungi; Ascomycota; Leotiomycetes. The record is from RNAcentral.